CCCUUAGAUGUUCUGGGCCGCACGCGCGCUACACUGACUGACUCAACGAGUUUACAACCUGUGCCGAAAGGUAUGGGUAAUCUUUUGAAAUUCAGUCGUGAUGGGGCUAGAUUAUUGCAACUAUUAAUCUUCAACGAGGAAUGCCUAGUAAGCGCGAAUCAUCAGUUCGCGUUGAUUACGUCCCUGCCCUUUGUACACACCGCCCGUCGCUCCUACCGAUUGAAUGGUCCGGUGAAAAUUUCGGACAGUGGCGAUGCUGGCGGUCCGCCGCCGGCGCUGUCGCUGGAAGAUCUUUAAACCUUAUCAUUUAGAGGAAGGAGAAGUCGUAACA
Molecule: ribosomal RNA, 331 nt
Filed under: uncultured eukaryote
Lineage: Eukaryota
Description: partial 18S ribosomal RNA
Rfam family: Eukaryotic small subunit ribosomal RNA
Source: RNAcentral